UUUCCGUAGGUGAACCUGCGGAAGGAUCAUUAUUGUAUUACCGAGGUGCGAGGUCUGUCGCUGAUUUGUUUGGUCGUGCACGCCCGAGUGCUCUCUCUAACAAUCAACUCAUCCCUUUGUAUACCACCGCGUGUGUCCUCCUUUUGCUUGUUCGGAGGAGUGCUUAUGUUUUCUAAUAUUCUUUGUAUGAGUAGCAGUAUGUAUUUAUUGUUUUUGCGAUCAACAAUCCCACACCCCUUUCCACAACGGAUCUCUUGGAUCACGCAUCGAUGAAACACG
Molecule: unclassified non-coding RNA, 279 nt
Filed under: plant metagenome
Description: partial contains small subunit ribosomal RNA, internal transcribed spacer 1, and 5.8S ribosomal RNA
Source: RNAcentral